AGGUAGCGCCAGCCAAGCUGGCCCAGAGAUCCAAAUGCUGCUUUUUAUAAAAUCGGGUGCCGUCAUGCCCCGCGAAACGAGAUCAGCCGGGUUCUGCUGUCCAGGUAUUUGGAGCUGCUUUGAUCCAAUGUAGUGUAAUACUGGAAUCGGACCAGAAAUGUACCGACUGCACAGGAAGCUGAAUGGCUUUGGCAAUGUGCUCGUACAGAUGAGCCCCUAAUACGGCACCGCAGAGUUCUAAACGAGGCAGGCUUAUACGCUUCAAUGGAGCUACUCUAGAUUUCGAUGCAAUCAAAGAUAUUUUAAUAUUCCCCUCGGCAUCCUCGCACCUUGCAUAAACGCAUGAGCCAUAUGCCGACUCUGAAGCAUCAGUAAAUAUGUGCAGUUGCACAUUCGAUCGUAAGGCGAAACAGUAUCGUUCGAUUCUAUAGCAAGUCAGAAUCUCCAACUUCUCAUAAAAAUCUUUCCAUUUCAGCCCAAAUGACUCUGGUACAGUCUCAUCCCAGCCAAUCGAUAGCGCCCAAAGCUGCUGCAUCAUUAUUUUUGCUCGCACUACGACAGGAGCGAUAAGACCCAACGGGUCAAAUAAUCGAGCUAUCUCCGAACAAAUGCUCCGUUUAGUAGAGGGUAACUGCAGUGGCUUGAUGCUUGAUGCAAAGCAUAAAUUAUCGCGCUCAGGUUCCCAGCAGACACCUAGGGCUUUUAUAGUUUCGUCGGUAUCAAACUGCACUUCGUGAAUAAAGAAUUCAACCGUUGUCUUAGGCUCGCAAUUUCGGUCAUCUUUAUACUUGACCUGUUGAGAUGGCAGGAUUCGGGAAAACAGUUGCAAUGACGAUGGCAGGGAAACACACACAGAUGAUGACGGAUGGCUGUUCCAAACUGCGACUGGCGGGAAACACACGAUUACGAAGACGGAUAUCACACGCGCGAAAACAACCGGUUGCGACACGGAAGAUAAGCUGACGUUUUCUCACACUAAUGUUCAACGGAUUGGACAGUAACUUAACUUUAGUGUUCUUUGUAACAAGACGUUACACGAUUCAAAGACGAACGAAAUCUUAUAUUAUAAUAAAGGCAAGACGCCUCACAGCUUUUUUUACGCGACUGCGGUGAAUCGCUGAAUUGUA
This is a long non-coding RNA of Anopheles arabiensis, 1127 nucleotides long. RefSeq lists it as uncharacterized. NCBI's taxonomy places the organism in Eukaryota, Metazoa, Arthropoda, Insecta, Diptera, Culicidae. The transcript is spliced from 3 exons. The record is from RefSeq and is a predicted model, not a curated record.